Molecule: long non-coding RNA, 280 nt
Filed under: Lathyrus oleraceus (garden pea)
Lineage: Eukaryota; Viridiplantae; Streptophyta; Magnoliopsida; Fabales; Fabaceae
Description: Pisum sativum (pea) long non-coding RNA (PSAT_LNC012029)
Source: RNAcentral
GGAGUUAAAGAUGCCUUAUGCUUGUGAGAGACCUAUGUCUAUGGUUGUGGUUGAGACAUUAACUCUCCAUAACCAAGAUGUAGAGGAGUUGGAAGACGCAUUCGCCAAGACAAAGCAAGAGAAGGAUAUGUGGGAAGAGCAUUUUCAUGCCUUGACCCGAAAGCAUGAAGAGUUGCAGCUUGAGUCUAAGGACAAAGAUGCACUUAUUGAGCUUCUUGAAGACCAAGUAGUGAAGAUACAAAUAGAACCAGAGGUUUCAUCUUCCUCUAGUAUACCUCCG